UACCAGCUCUUCGAGUGGUGUGGAUGUUUAUUGGGCCUAAAGCAUCCGUAGCUGGCUGGGCAAGUCCCCUGUUAAAUCCACCGAUUCAAUCGUUGGAGUGCGGGGGAUACUGCUCGGCUAGGGGACGGGAGAGGCCGACGGUAUUUUCGGGGUAGGGGUGAAAUCCUAUAAUCCCGGAAAGACCACCAGUGGCGAAGGCUGUCUGCUAGAACGUGCCCGACGGUGAGGGAUGAAAGCUGGGGGAGCGAACCGGAUUAGAUACCCGGGUAGUCCCAGCUGUAAACGAUGCAGGCUAGGUGUUUGGACGGCCACGUGCCGUUCUAGUGCCGCAGGGAAGCCGUUAAGCCUGCCGCCUGGGGAGUACGGCCGCAAGGCUGAAACUUAAGGAAUUGGCGGGGAGCACCACAAGGGGUGAAGCUUGCGGUUU
This 427-nucleotide ribosomal RNA is filed under the name uncultured archaeon. RNAcentral's name for it is "bacterial SSU rRNA". It matches the Rfam family "Archaeal small subunit ribosomal RNA", at positions 474 to 903 of the family's 1478-position model. The record is from RNAcentral.